Molecule: long non-coding RNA, 1179 nt
Organism: Rhinichthys klamathensis goyatoka
Lineage: Eukaryota; Metazoa; Chordata; Actinopteri; Cypriniformes; Leuciscidae
Exons: 3
Source: RefSeq, a predicted model, not a curated record
GGGAAAGAGCUGUUCUGCGAUUGAUUGUAAAAACAGAUUCAACAAGAAAUCGAAUCUGUCUUUUUACAGACUGCCGAAAGCAAAAGAAAAGAGAACCAAAUGGAUCGCUGCACUUUGCAGAAACAACUGGAAUCCAGGCAGCGAAACGUGGAUUUGCAGUUGCCAUUUUGUGUCAGGAAAAAAGAGUGAUGAUCCUCUACACCCUGACUAUGUGCCAAGUUUAUUCAGUUUCACGCCCACCGCUGAUCGAAUUCGGGCUGUCAACAACCUGGAAAGAUAUCAACGAUUUCGAGAAGUUUCUGUGAAAAGAUUUGUCAGUGCCAACACAAGUAAAGAGCUAGCUGCAACAGCUCUCAUGAACCUGCAUCAAAGUUCUGCUUUAAAGAAAGAGCUACAGGCGGUUGAAAUCCAAGACACUGAGGUCCAGACGGUUGAAGUCCAAGGCACUGAGGUCCAGACGGAUGAAACACACAGGGACAUCUCCUCUUUACAUGAACAGAUCAAAUCUUUAAACACUGAAUGCCAAUUACUGAGAGAAAAAGUUUACGGAUUAGAAAGUGACUUAAAACGUCAUUCUCUUGAUCCGUCGCAUUUUGAUGACAGCAAAAUGAAAAUUUUCACAGGACUACCCAAUUUACAGACUUUCAUGCUAUUGUUCAGUUCUGUGUCAUCAGUUGUUCCUAUUAGUGCAAAACAGUCGCUCAAGCCUACUCAGGAACUACUUCUUACUCUGAUGAAGCUGCACCUCAAACUGUCUGAGGAAUUCUUAGGUCAGCUCUUCAGGAUUCAUCAGUCAACGGUAUCAAGAAUUCUUCGACGUUGGAUACAUGUCCACGGAGCUUUUAAUUCCUUAAUGUAAAAUAAAGGCCUUAAUUAGCGUUAAAAAAACGCUAGUUGCUUUUUGAAAUCGUAAAACUGUCAUUGCAGCGACUCGCAGUAAAUGCCAUUUCACACAAACUCCAUCCGUACCUGUGCUGUGAGUUUGAGUCACAUUUAGAACACAACAUGUGUCAGAUUUACUUUUAUUUACGUUAGCUUAAAUCUCAAACUUUUUUUAGUGGGGAGAAAUUGACUGCAUUUUACCCGAUUCGUAAGCAGAUGUGAAUGCUGUAGUUUGAGACGCCUUGCCGAAUGUAUGGAAAAAUGUACAUUUUGUAAAUAUUCUUUAAUGUUAUUUAA